RNAcentral lists this ribosomal RNA (1424 nucleotides) under uncultured organism. RNAcentral's name for it is "16S ribosomal RNA". It matches the Rfam family "Bacterial small subunit ribosomal RNA". The record is from RNAcentral.
CGGCGUGCUUAACACAUGCAAGUCGAACGGAAAGGCCCUGCUUUUGUGGGGUGCUCGAGUGGCGAACGGGUGAGUAACACGUGAGUAACCUGCCCUUGACUUUGGGAUAACUUCAGGAAACUGGGGCUAAUACCGGAUAGGAGCUCCUGCUGCAUGGUGGGGGUUGGAAAGUUUCGGCGGUUGGGGAUGGACUCGCGGCUUAUCAGCUUGUUGGUGGGGUAGUGGCUUACCAAGGCUUUGACGGGUAGCCGGCCUGAGAGGGUGACCGGCCACAUUGGGACUGAGAUACGGCCCAGACUCCUACGGGAGGCAGCAGUGGGGAAUAUUGCACAAUGGGCGGAAGCCUGAUGCAGCAACGCCGCGUGCGGGAUGACGGCCUUCGGGUUGUAAACCGCUUUCGCCUGUGACGAAGCGUGAGUGACGGUAAUGGGUAAAGAAGCACCGGCUAACUACGUGCCAGCAGCCGCGGUGAUACGUAGGGUGCGAGCGUUGUCCGGAUUUAUUGGGCGUAAAGGGCUCGUAGGUGGUUGAUCGCGUCGGAAGUGUAAUCUUGGGGCUUAACCCUGAGCGUGCUUUCGAUACGGGUUGACUUGAGGAAGGUAGGGGAGAAUGGAAUUCCUGGUGGAGCGGUGGAAUGCGCAGAUAUCAGGAGGAACACCAGUGGCGAAGGCGGUUCUCUGGGCCUUUCCUGACGCUGAGGAGCGAAAGCGUGGGGAGCGAACAGGCUUAGAUACCCUGGUAGUCCACGCUGUAAACGGUGGGUACUAGGUGUGGGGUCCAUUCCACGGGUUCCGUGCCGUAGCUAACGCUUUAAGUACCCCGCCUGGGGAGUACGGCCGCAAGGCUAAAACUCAAAGGAAUUGACGGGGCCCCGCACAAGCGGCGGAGCAUGCGGAUUAAUUCGAUGCAACGCGUAGAACCUUACCUGGGUUUGACAUGGAUCGGGAGUGCUCAGAGAUGGGUGUGCCUCUUUUGGGGUCGGUUCACAGGUGGUGCAUGGCUGUCGUCAGCUCGUGUCGUGAGAUGUUGGGUUAAGUCCCGCAACGAGCGCAACCCUUGUUCACUGUUGCCAGCACGUUAUGGUGGGGACUCAGUGGAGACCGCCGGGGUCAACUCGGAGGAAGGUGGGGAUGACGUCAAGUCAUCAUGCCCCUUAUGUCCAGGGCUUCACGCAUGCUACAAUGGCUGGUACAGAGAGUGGCGAGCCUGUGAGGGUGAGCGAAUCUCGGAAAGCCGGUCUCAGUUCGGAUUGGGGUCUGCAACUCGACCUCAUGAAGUCGGAGUCGCUAGUAAUCGCAGAUCAGCAACGCUGCGGUGAAUACGUUCCCGGGGCUUGUACACACCGCCCGUCAAGUCAUGAAAGUUGGUAACACCCGAAGCCGGUGGCCUAACCGUUGUGGGGGAGCCGUCGAAGGUGGGACUGG